Molecule: ribosomal RNA, 406 nt
Filed under: uncultured bacterium
Lineage: Bacteria
Description: partial 16S ribosomal RNA
Rfam family: Bacterial small subunit ribosomal RNA
Source: RNAcentral
AUUGAACGCUGGCGGCAGGCCUAACACAUGCAAGUCGAACGAGUGGCGGACGGGUGAGUAAUGUCUGGGAAACUGCGCGAUGGAGGGGGAUAACUAAUGGAAACGGUAGCUAAUACCGCAUAACAGCGGAUGUGCCCAGAUGGGAUUAGCUAGUAGUGGGGGUAACGGCUAACCUAGGCGACGAUCCCUAGCUGGUCUGAGAGGAUGACCAGCCAACUUGGAUCUGAGACACGGUCCAGAUUCCUACGGGAGGCAGCAGUGGGGAAUAUUGCACAAUGGGCGCAAGCCUGAUGCAGCCAUGCCGCGUGUAUGAAGAAGGCCUUCGGGUUGUAAAGUACUUUCAGCGAGGAGGCGUUACUCGCAGAAUAAGCACCGGCUAACUCCGUGCCAGCAGCCGCGGUAAUAC